AAACAUGUCUUUUUGAUUUUAAUUUAAAGUUUAAUCUGCCCCCUGAUUUAUAUUGAAGGGCUGCAGUAAUUUGACUGUACAAAGGUAGCAUAAUCAUUAGUCUUUUAAUUGAAGACUUGUAUGAAGGAUUUGAUAAAAUAUAAACUGUCUCUAAUUUAUAUUUAAAAUUUAAUUUUUUAGUUAAAAAGCUAAAAUAAAUUUAAAAGACGAGAAGACCCUAUAGAGUUUUAUAAUUUAUAAUUUAAAAUAUUUAUAUAAAAUUUUAAUAUAAUAGAUUAUAAUUUAUUUUAUUGGGGUGAUAGAAAAAUUUAUAAAACUUUUUUUUUUUCAUUAACAUAAAUAAUUGAAUAUAUGAUCCUAAAUAAAGAUUAAAAGAAAAAAUUACCUUAGGGAUAACAGCGUAAUUUUUUUUUUUAGUACAAAUAAAAAAAAAAGUUUGCGACCUCGAUGUUGGAUUAAGAUAAAAUUUAAAUGCAAAAGUUUAAAAUUUUGAUCUGUUCGAUCAUUAAAAUCUUACAUGAUCU
This 524-nucleotide ribosomal RNA is filed under the name Pseudozizeeria maha (pale grass blue). RNAcentral's name for it is "partial 16S ribosomal RNA". The stretch from base 392 to 524 matches the Rfam family "Archaeal large subunit ribosomal RNA", at positions 2542 to 2675 of the family's 2987-position model. The record is from RNAcentral. Lineage: Eukaryota; Metazoa; Arthropoda; Insecta; Lepidoptera; Lycaenidae.